This 72-nucleotide transfer RNA is filed under the name Sus scrofa (pig). It matches the Rfam family "tRNA". Rfam says of the family: Transfer RNA (tRNA) molecules are approximately 80 nucleotides in length. The record is from Rfam by way of RNAcentral. Lineage: Eukaryota; Metazoa; Chordata; Mammalia; Artiodactyla; Suidae.
UCCCUGGUGGUCUAGUGGUUAGGACUCAGCAUUGUCAUCGCUGCAGACCAGGUUCAAUCCCUGCUCUGGGAA